UAAGCGUUGAAGGGUCUGGGUGUGAACCUGCCUGGAGCUGCCAUCGGCACAGAUCUUGGUGGUAGUAGCAAAUACUCAAGUGAGAUCCUUGAGGACUGACGUGGAGAAGGGUUCCAUGUGAACAGCAAUUGCACAUGGGUGAGUCGUUCCUAAGCCAAAGGCGAAAGCCAUACUCAUAAACUUGUGGCCACAUGAAAAUGAAAAAGAUUACCGUGUGGAGCCUAUAAAAAACUGUCUAGUACGAAAGGAUCGGCAGUGUGUGCGAAUCCGUUUCAGGUUAGCAGCAGCACCCAGGGAGGGUUAUACUCCCGCACGGUCGUAUGCGCCUGCAUUCUGUUGCAUCGUACCAAAAUGAAAAAGACUGUCUAGUGGCAGUGUGUGCGAAUCCGUUUCAGGUUAGCAGCAGCACCCAGGGAGGGUUAUACUCCCGCACGGUCGUAUGCGCCUGCAUUCUGUUGCAUCGCACCAAACGAAAAAGAGAUUGAAAUGUCAGAGACUCGACUAGUGCGAAUCCGUUUCAGGUUAGCAGCAGCACCCAGGGAGGGUUAUACUCCUGCACGGUCGUAUGCGCCUGCAUUCUGUUGCAUCGUACUGUACAAACAGUCGUGUCGAGGAAGCUUUUCAAGUUGGGCCGCACAAUAAUAAAAAUGUCUUGAGUGAGCCAGCAAGGAGUUUGGCGAAAGGGAAUCCGGUACUCAUUCCGGAACCUGGACAUGGGGAGUAGUGUUGCUUCAAGCAUCACAUAGCCGUGAGGCGUUUACCAUCCUGGAGAAUCCAACCAGAGAGCUGGGGAGAGUUGUCUUUUCUGCUUAAGGGAAGGAGCAUGCUGAGAACUGGGUCGGUCAGAGAUAGUAUGUGUUUCCCGAAUAGCGCCGCGGUUCUUGCGGAGUCCAGCUCCUCUGGUCUGGAACUUGAAAAUCCAGGGGUAAGAUGAAAUACCCUCAUGCCAGUUCGUACCC
This 959-nucleotide ribosomal RNA is filed under the name Pseudocandona regisnikolai. RNAcentral's name for it is "LSU rRNA". It matches the Rfam family "Eukaryotic large subunit ribosomal RNA", at positions 1398 to 1849 of the family's 3401-position model. The record is from RNAcentral. Lineage: Eukaryota; Metazoa; Arthropoda; Ostracoda; Podocopida; Candonidae.